Aedes aegypti (yellow fever mosquito) is the source of this 453-nucleotide long non-coding RNA. RefSeq lists it as uncharacterized. The record is from RefSeq and is a predicted model, not a curated record. The transcript has 2 exons. NCBI's taxonomy places the organism in Eukaryota, Metazoa, Arthropoda, Insecta, Diptera, Culicidae.
AUCCUCCGUUGUGGUGAAAAUUUUUCCGUCGACGUGAUGUCGGACUGUUUUCAAAAACAGUCGAGACAAAAGCCGAUCCGGCAGAGCAAUGGCAGUUAGUUUGCUUGAAACUUUGCUUCGGAAGUCCAACCGGCGAAUUCCAGAUUAGUGCUGCGAAGUCAAUAAUCCUGAUAUCAACUGAUGCGAGGUAGAUGUGAAAAUGACCAAGUCCUGGUUUUGAUCGAACAACCGCAAGAAAAAAAUAUAAACAUUCAACCGGGAAGGCUACUGGCACGGUCAAACUACAUCCUCCAUGGUUUCAUCAAUCCCCCAGAGAUUUAUAACAUCCGGGGAUCCAUUCCAUAGCAGCGAAAUUUUCAACACAAAUAUCAUUUUUUUUACUUGUUUUACUUUUAUCAUGUAUUAUUCAUAUAGUAAUGUAAGGGAUAAUAAAUAAAUGUUAUGUUUUUUGUA